Molecule: ribosomal RNA, 519 nt
Filed under: uncultured bacterium
Lineage: Bacteria
Description: bacterial SSU rRNA
Rfam family: Bacterial small subunit ribosomal RNA
Source: RNAcentral
GAGUUUGAUCCUGGCUCAGGAUGAACGUUGGCGGCGUGCCUAAUACAUGCAGGUCGAGCGAACAGAUAAGGAGCUUGCUCCUUUGACGUUAGCGGCGGACGGGUGAGUAACACGUGGGUAACCUACCUAUAAGACUGGAAUAACUCCGGGAAACCGGGGCUAAUGCCGGAUAAUAUUUAGAACCGCAUGGUUCUAAAGUGAAAGAUGGUUUUGCUAUCACUUAUAGAUGGACCCGCGCCGUAUUAGCUAGUUGGUGGGGUAAUGGCUUACCAAGGCAACGAUACGUAGCCGACCUGAGAGGGUGAUCGGCCACACUGGAACUGAGACACGGUCCAGACUCCUACGGGAGGCAGCAGUAGGGAAUCUUCCGCAAUGGGCGAAAGCCUGACGGAGCAACGCCGCGUGAGUGAUGAAGGUCUUCGGAUCGUAAAACUCUGUUAUUAGGGAAGAACAAAUGUGUAAGUAACUGUGCACGUCUUGACGGUACCUAAUCAGAAAGCCACGGCUAACUACGUGCCA